RNAcentral lists this ribosomal RNA (433 nucleotides) under uncultured bacterium. RNAcentral's name for it is "partial 16S ribosomal RNA". It matches the Rfam family "Bacterial small subunit ribosomal RNA", at positions 29 to 507 of the family's 1533-position model. The record is from RNAcentral.
AACGAACGCUGGCGGCAUGCCUAACACAUGCAAGUCGAACGAGACCUUCGGGUCUAGUGGCGCACGGGUGCGUAACGCGUGGGAACCUGCCCUUAGGUUCGGAAUAACUCCCCGAAAGGGGUGCUAAUACCGGAUAAUGUCUUCGGACCAAAGAUUUAUCGCCUUUGGAUGGGCCCGCGUUGGAUUAGCUAGUUGGUAGGGUAAAAGCCUACCAAGGCGACGAUCCAUAGCUGGUCUGAGAGGAUGAUCAGCCACACUGGGACUGAGACACGGCCCAGACUCCUACGGGAGGCAGCAGUGGGGAAUAUUGGACAAUGGGCGAAAGCCUGAUCCAGCAAUGACGCGUGAGUGAUGAAGGCCUUAGGGUUGUAAAGCUCUUUUACCCGGGAUGAUAAUGACAGUACCGGGAGAAUAAGCUCCGGCUAAAUCCGUG